GACGAACGCUGGCGGCGUGCUUAACACAUGCAAGUCGAACGGUGAAGCGCCUUACUUUUUGGUGGGUGUGGAUUAGUGGCGAACGUGUGAGUAACACGUGAGUAACCUGCCUCCUCCUUCUGGAUAACCGCAUGAAAGUGUGGCUAAUACGGGAUAUUCUUGGUCUGUCGCAUAUUGGUUCUGGGACAUAUAUUGUUUCGGUGUGCGAUGGUCUCGCGUCCUAUCAGCUUGUGGGUGGGGUGUUGGCCUACCAAGGCGGUGCCGGGUAGCCGGCAUGAGAGGGAGGACGAUCAGACUGGGAAGGAGACACGGUCAAGACUGAUACGGGACGCAGCAGUGGGGAAUAUGGCACGAUGGGGGGAAGAAUAAUGCAGAGAGGAGGGGAGAGGGAUGGAGGGAUUCGGGUUGAGAACCGCUUGAGCCAGUGAAGCAGGGCUGCCUCGUAUGUGGAGGGGUUGACGGUAGCUUAAUAAGAAGCGCCGGCUAACUACGUG
RNAcentral lists this ribosomal RNA (494 nucleotides) under uncultured bacterium. Its description in RNAcentral is "partial 16S ribosomal RNA". It matches the Rfam family "Bacterial small subunit ribosomal RNA", at positions 28 to 507 of the family's 1533-position model. The record is from RNAcentral.